CCUACGGGCGGCAGCAGUGGGGAAUAUUGCUCAAUGGGGGCAACCCUGAUCCAGCGACGUCGCGUGAGUGAUGACGUCUCUCGGUAUGUUAAGCUCUAUCAGCAGGGAAGAAAAUUACGGUACCUGUUCCAGAAGCCCCGGCUAACUACGUGCCAGCAGCCGCGGUAAUACGUAGGGGGCAAGCGUUAUCCGGAUUUACUGGGUGUAAAGGGAGCGUAGACGGCAGCACAAGUCUGGAGUGAAAUGCCGGGGCUUAACCCCGGAACUGCAUUGGAAACUGUGCGGCUAGAGUGCAGGAGAGGUAAGUGGAAUUCCUAGUGUAGCGGUGAAAUGCGUAGAUAUUACGAAGAACACCAGUGGCGAAGGCAGCUUACUGGACUGUAACUGACGUUGAGGCUCGAAAGCGUGGGGAGCAAACAGGAUUAGAUACCCCAGUAGUC
This 440-nucleotide ribosomal RNA is filed under the name uncultured bacterium. RNAcentral describes it as "partial 16S ribosomal RNA". It matches the Rfam family "Bacterial small subunit ribosomal RNA", at positions 338 to 795 of the family's 1533-position model. The record is from RNAcentral.